RNAcentral lists this ribosomal RNA (253 nucleotides) under uncultured bacterium. Its description in RNAcentral is "partial 16S ribosomal RNA". It matches the Rfam family "Bacterial small subunit ribosomal RNA", at positions 524 to 776 of the family's 1533-position model. The record is from RNAcentral.
UACGUAGGGGGCUAGCGUUGUCCGGAAUCAUUGGGCGUAAAGCGCGCGUAGGCGGCCCGGUAAGUCCGCUCUGAAAGUCCAGGGCUCAACCCUGGAAUGCGGGUGGAUACUGCCGGGCUAGAGUCCGGAAGAGGCGAGUGGAAUUCCUGGUGUAGCGGUGGAAUGCGCAGAGAUCCGGAAGAACACCGGUGGCGAAGGCGGUCUGCUGGGCAGUAGCUGACACUGAGGCGCGACAGCGUGGGGAGCAAACAGG